GAAGUCGGUCAGGCAACCGCUGCGUGCUUCGGCACGGGGAGGAAAGUCCGGGCUUCAUAGAGCAGGAUGCCGGCUAACGGCCGGGCGCUAUACGCCGCAAGGCAAAGGCGACGGAAAGUGCAACAGAGAACAGACCGCCGAUGGCUCAUGCAGGCAACUGCGGGCACAGGCAAGGGUGAAACGGCGAGGUAAGAGCUCACCGCGGACGUGGUAACACGGACGGCACGGCAAACCCCAUCCGAAGCAAGGCCAAAUAGGGAAGCAUUCGGCGUGGCUCGCGUCGCUUCCGGGUAGGCUGCUUGAGCGGCUCGGCAACGGGUCGCCUAGAGGAAUGGUUGCCCACGACAGAACCCGGCUUAUCGACCGGCUUCCCAA
This 375-nucleotide RNase P RNA is filed under the name Propionivibrio dicarboxylicus. RNAcentral describes it as "Bacterial RNase P class A". It matches the Rfam family "Bacterial RNase P class A". Rfam says of the family: Ribonuclease P (RNase P) is a ubiquitous endoribonuclease, found in archaea, bacteria and eukarya as well as chloroplasts and mitochondria. The record is from Rfam by way of RNAcentral. Lineage: Bacteria; Pseudomonadati; Pseudomonadota; Betaproteobacteria; Rhodocyclales; Rhodocyclaceae.